UACAGAGGGUGCAAGCGUUAAUCGGAAUUACUGGGCGUAAAGCGUGCGUAGACGGUUAUGUAAGUCGGGUGUGAAAGCCCCGGGCUCAACCUGGGAAUGCCAUUCGAGACUGCAUAGCUAGGGUGCGGAAGAGGGAAGCGGAAUUUCCGGUGUAGCGGUGAAAUGCGUAGAUAUCGGGAAGAACACCCGUGGCGAAGGCGGUUCUCUGGGACGGUACUGACGCUGAGACGCGAAAGCGUGGGGAGCGAACAGG
Molecule: ribosomal RNA, 253 nt
Filed under: uncultured bacterium
Lineage: Bacteria
Description: partial 16S ribosomal RNA
Rfam family: Bacterial small subunit ribosomal RNA
Source: RNAcentral